RNAcentral lists this ribosomal RNA (465 nucleotides) under Vreelandella stevensii. RNAcentral describes it as "partial 16S ribosomal RNA". It matches the Rfam family "Bacterial small subunit ribosomal RNA", at positions 338 to 795 of the family's 1533-position model. The record is from RNAcentral. Lineage: Bacteria; Pseudomonadati; Pseudomonadota; Gammaproteobacteria; Oceanospirillales; Halomonadaceae.
CCUACGGGGGGCAGCAGUGGGGAAUAUUGGACAAUGGGCGAAAGCCUGAUCCAGCCAUGCCGCGUGUGUGAAGAAGGCCUUCGGGUUGUAAAGCACUUUCAGUGGGGAAGAAAGCCUUGGGGCUAAUACCCUCGAGGAAGGACAUCACCCACAGAAGAAGCACCGGCUAACUCCGUGCCAGCAGCCGCGGUAAUACGGAGGGUGCGAGCGUUAAUCGGAAUUACUGGGCGUAAAGCGCGCGUAGGCGGUCUGAUAAGCCGGUUGUGAAAGCCCCGGGCUCAACCUGGGAACGGCAUCCGGAACUGUCAGGCUAGAGUGCAGGAGAGGAAGGUAGAAUUCCCGGAGUAGCGGUGAAAUGCGUAGAGAUCGGGAGGAAUACCAGUGGCGAAGGCAGCCUUCUGGACUGACACUGACGCUGAGGUGCGAAAGCGUGGGUAGCAAACAGGAUUAGAUACCCGGGUAGUC